GAUGGACUAAAUAUUGCUUUUUCUCCUGAUUUCCGCAGAAACCGAGACAGUACCCACUGCCAGCAGCAGAUGGGAAGUCUAAACAGGAGAGACUGAAUAAAGCUGACAACUGAGGCAGGAUAAAGAAGAGAAGGAACAAAGAAGGAGGGGGCAGGAAAAGAAGCCAAGCAGAACAUGCUAGCCUGUCGAUUUUGUCUUCCAUUAAGGCUUCAGCAGAAGAUAAGAAAAGCUAAGCCACGUCAGUGAAGGGAGGACAGCAGGAAGGCUUUCAGGGGAAGAUUUGUGGUGUGGAUUCACUCGGCAUUGAUGAGAGCAGCUCCCCAGACAGAUACCGAGGAUCUUCUGAAUUGGCGGCCUCUACAUAUGCUUCUGCUAAGGAGCAUGUAUUCAUUCAACAAGCAUUUUAAACCCCCAGCAAGGCACAAGCUACAAGGGUUACAAGAGACACAAGAAGAGAUGAGGUGGCUCCUGCUUCCCAAAGAGUGUGGUCCAGGGAAAGGAAUAGGUGAGUAAAUAUGCCUACUAGAAUAUCAACUCCACUGGAGCAAGGACUGUGCCUGUUUUGUUCACAGUUGUUUCCAGCACCUAGAAAGUGCCUGGCAUAUAGUUGCCUACUAUAUGUUGUUGGAAGAAAGAGAGAGGGAGGGAAAGAAGGAAGGAGGAAAUGAGGGAGGAAGGAGACAAAGAGGCAGUUUUGGUUUUUUUUAGGACAUUAGGCCAGAGAUGAGAGGGAAUUUGGCAUGCAGGACAGCCAAUAAGGCCACAGACAGGAAAUGAUACCAAGUGCUCUAAGAAUAUAGAAACAUUAUUAUUUCUAUGUGAGGUGACCAAGGAAGACUUUUCAGAAGAGGAGGGGUUUGCUGGGUGUUUCAACACGUUCCUAACCUAUACAUACUUUGCCUUCUUUAGUAAUCUGUAUUGACUUGUUGCAAUUGCUUCAACCCAGAAGAGAAGUUCCAGGUCUUAAAUCCCAUGCACUUUGCAGACAUGCUGCCCGCUUCAGAACAGAUCCUGGCCAGAGGGAGCUCAGAAUCAGACAUCAGGCUGUGGUUCUGGGGAAGAGGCCCAUGGGUCACAGUAGUAGCCAGGCCAUGAGCUACCACAGUGGCAGCCUGUGUGAAGAAGUCUACCCUGGUACCACGGCACGGGAGAGAGGCUGCCUGCCUUUAUUUCAAAGUGGGGCUGUGUAGAAGCUGCCAACUUAGUAUAGCAAAAUAUACAGAUCCCAGAAUUCUGAUCUGCCCUGUGGGCAUCUGUCCUGCCUCACUCUGAGCCAUUCAAUGACUGACACGGUCCUCUAGCCUUCCGCUCCUUCCAGCCUAGCCCAGCUGCAGUUUUCUCUCCCAGGGCCUCACUCUCUCUUCCCAAGGUAGGAGAAUAUCAGUCUGUUAAAUCUCUAAGAUCCUGACUCAACCGCAACAACACACUGGGCUCUCCUGAGGCCUCCUGGUAAGAAGACACUACUUAUCUCCAUUAACCUCUGACCCAGCUAAGAUGAAACAGCCACAUCUGAGAGCCUGAGUGCCCUCUUCCCUGAACUAAAGCUAAAUAAAGUAUGGGGGUAGGGUGCAGGGACAGAGAGCAGCCUCAGACUUGCAACCCCCGCCCCUCCAGGGAAUGGCUGCCUCCUCCCUUCUGGCCUCAUCCCUGAGCCUGUUAAUAGAUGACUCCUAGGGAACCCCUCCAGGUGGCCUGUGGGUUAAGAACUACAUCUGGAGGAAGCACUGCCCCCUAGGAUGAUGGAAGGGCCAUAAACCCUCAAAGACUCUCUGUUUGAUUUAUGUGAUAAUAAUGGGAAUGUUAAUCUCCAAAGGCAAAGCCAUUCACCCCAAAUUCCAACCUCCUGGGUCCCUACACCUGACUUAACGAGAACAGACCCCCUUACCCACGGUUCCCACGGACUGGGCAUUUUACGUUCAGUGUCUCUUUUUCUCCUCACCACAAGUCAGGAGCUGCAUGCUGUUAUGAUGCCCAUGUUACAGGUGGGGAAACAGAAGCUCAGAGAGCUCUCGUGACCUGCCCAAACUAACAGCUAACAGUUAAUGAUCUGUUCACUCACAUCAGUGGCCCAGCUGAGAGUGCAACUGCAUUUGUCUAACUCCAAAGCCUGUGCUUUUACCCUGUUCCACACUCUCCCAGCAAUCACCCUAGAGCUUCCUACUUGGAAAAAAAAAAUCUAGUUCAACCAGAGGCUACAAAUGAUGCUGCUCUUGAGUUCGUUCAUUCAAAUUGCCUUUAAUUCAAAUAUUCACUUACAGGGCAGCAGAAUAGUUAAAUGCCGUCUUAUCUGCCCUCUGAGAACUAUAAAUCACCCAAAUUAAUAUUAGGUGCCUACUAUGUGCCAGGUCAUAUUAGUCAAUGCGAUACCAACUAUAAAUACUACAGGGCAUCACUAAAUAUUAGAUAGGUGAGAGCAUAUUUGUGUCUGUUUCUAGAUUGUAUGCAUUUUAAUCCCCACAAGCAAUAAUUCUCUUUAAAGAUGACAAGUAGCAAUAAUGUGAAUUAAAAUUAAUUUAAAUAAAAAGAAACUAAGAGUUUUGGGGUUUUUUUUUAAUGGUCUUCUGGUCAGUGCAAUUAGCCAAUGGACUCAAAAUGAAAGCAAGCACUGGCUUCCAGGUGGCAGGCCAGAAAUACGAGACCAUAAAAGAGGCCUUUGUAAAAGAGGGUAAUUUAGAUAAACAUGGGGAGGGGUCCCUGAAGAGUCCCUCAGGAGUAGACUGUCUAAUUUGUUUUGUAUUCCUAAUGCCUGCUGCGUAUAUAUGCUGAGUGAAUGAGUAAACGAAUCAAUGGAUGAUUUACAGGCUUUUCCAUGCAAGAAGCACCUCCUGAAAUACACCACAGUUAGAGGCAUGAGCUGAGAACAGGGUGGGGGUCGUGGGGAAUGAGAAGUUUGUACCAACUGCACAGCAUAUAAAAUGCUUAAAUGCGUUUAUAAAAGGAAAAAAUAACCAGCCUGGGCAACAUGGCAAAACCUCGCCUCUACAAACAAUUAAAAAAUUAGCCAGGCUUGGUGCCAUGUGCCUAUGGUCCCAGCUACUCGGGAGGUAAGGUGGGAGGAUCGCUUGAGCCCAGGAGGUAAACACCUCAGUGAGCCUUGAUCACACCAGUGCACUCUAGCCUGGGCAACAGAGUGAGACCCUGUCUCAAAAAAAUUAAUUAAUUAAUUAAUAAUCUUUGAGUACUUUCUUUGCAGCUGCCUAGGUACACUGAUAUAUGUCAUACUCUCAUUUAAUAUAGUGAGCCCAUGAAAUCUGUUUUAUUGUGCCCAUUUUACAGAUGAGGAAAUUGGGGCUCAUAGAGUUUAACGGACUUACCCAAAGUUGUAGAGCAAGAAAGUAUUAAAGCCACAAUGUGGACACCAAUGUCUGGCUCCUUAGCGCACUCCCUUUCCUCCACGGCAUGCUGAAGGAGCCCAUUUCCUUCUGAGAAGGAUGCUACCGUGUUUCUCCAAGUCUGGGCUAGAAAGAUCCAUGACAAAUAACUUGGCAAAGAAAUAGAACAAUAACCUCUCAAAAGGAAAGUGAAGAUACUCUCUACACUGGAAGUUCCUGACCUUCUUGUUCUGAACAUUUCAAGCCAACUGGGCACAUGUAGUCUGCCUUUCAAUACACAAUAUAUGGAAAAGCAGAGACUGGGGCCCAAUUAACUUCCUCACUCUCAGAUUCUUGCCUAGGAAACCAGCAAGUGAAUCUCCCUUAUUGUUCAACUCAUUGGCACCUCCACUAGAGACUUCAGAGAAGAAAUAAGCGUAUUCGGUUGGUGCAAAAGUAAUUGCGGUUUUUGCCAUUAAAAGUAAUUGCAAAAACCACAAUUACUUUUACACCAACCGGAUAAAAAUAAAUUCAAAGCAAGUGUUAUUGCUGUAUGUAACCAAUUAUAGGGAUUUGGGGGUGGAAGUUGUUUUGUUUUGUUUUUUUAAAGAGAUAGGGAUUAUUUGGAGGGUAUGAACGUGAAGAAACGUUGAAAGUACAUUGUUUUAAAAAAUGAUUGCAAUUUUCUUUCAAUGUACUACCUUAAACUUCUUGUUCUACCUAAUCUAAAUCAGCUAUAAAAUCAGGCAAGUUUGAGCUGUCAGUCUUGUGUAUAAAACCAAUGAAAAUAUUUUAUUGUGUGCACUUUAUUGCCUGAUGGCUGAUUCACUGACAAAUUGAUUCACAAUUUGUUUGGAAAAAUCUCCAGGUCCAAAGGCCAGUGGAGGUUUAAUUUGGCCUGUAAUUGAGCUUUGCAGAUAACUAAAUUCUUCUGGGGUGGGGUGAGAUGAAGGAGGUGGUGGGAGGUGCUGGGGGGUGGGGUUCCCUAAAAAUCCUGUCAUGUGCAUAAUCUUUUCCCAACCCAGUGUGCUUUCUGAACCAUUUCCUACACUUACCAGAUAGAGCAAGGGGUUGGUCUGAGUAAGGAAACACAGGCCUCAUGACUCCUCACUGAGAGGCAGGUCCUCCACCUUCUGUUCUCUUUGCUUCCCCUGUUGUGAACCAUAUGUGCUGGACCAAAAAUUGAGACAUGUGAUCUGGCCAUGAAAAAAUGAAAUUAAGACUGUUCCAGAAGAUCUAGGGUAUAUGUUCUCCAGAGACAGAGCAACCAGGACGAUAU
Molecule: long non-coding RNA, 4590 nt
Filed under: Homo sapiens (human)
Lineage: Eukaryota; Metazoa; Chordata; Mammalia; Primates; Hominidae
Description: HSALNT0211724
Source: RNAcentral